RNAcentral lists this ribosomal RNA (386 nucleotides) under uncultured bacterium. Its description in RNAcentral is "bacterial SSU rRNA". It matches the Rfam family "Bacterial small subunit ribosomal RNA", at positions 28 to 416 of the family's 1533-position model. The record is from RNAcentral.
GACGAACGCUGGCGGCGUGCUUAACACAUGCAAGUCGAGCGGUAAGGCCCUUUCGGGGGUACACGAGCGGCGAACGGGUGAGUAACACGUGGGUGACCUGCCCUCAGCUCUGGGAUAAGCCUGGGAAACCGGGUCUAAUACUGGAUAUGACUCCAUGACGCAUGUUGUGGGGUGGAAAGCCUUGUGCGGCUGAGGAUGGGCCCGCGGCCUAUCAGCUUGUUGGUGGGGUGAUGGCCUACCAAGGCGACGACGGGUAGCCGGCCUGAGAGGGCGACCGGCCACACUGGGACUGAGACACGGCCCAGACUCCUACGGGAGGCAGCAGUGGGAAUCUUGCGCAAUGGGCGAAAGCCUGACGCAGCGACGCCGCGUGAGGGAUGACGGCC